This 31-nucleotide non-coding RNA is filed under the name Rattus norvegicus (Norway rat). The record is from RNAcentral. Lineage: Eukaryota; Metazoa; Chordata; Mammalia; Rodentia; Muridae.
UUCCCUGUAAGGAGCAUGUACAUUUUCGAGC